UACAAGUGAGGGAAAAAUAAAAAAAAAAUAAAAAAAAAAUCUCAGCUAACAGUAGAAGGAGAAGAAGAGAGGAAGGUUAAGGAAGCAAAAAUUUUCUACCAUUUUAUCAACCAUUUGAAUCCUACUGUUAGAUUAUGUUGAAGAAGGGACUGAGGCUGAAAUUGGAGCUGCUGCCAAUAUCGAACCUUGGCUGACUUAGAGUCAAGAUUUUGUCAGAAUAAAAUCCUGUUAUCCCUUGUAGUAGGAUUAAACUAUGUUGUGACGUUGUUUGUGAACUCGUAGUUUUAUUUUGUCGUUGGACUUUGGCUUUGUAAGAACUUAAAAGUUCCUAACUAGUAGUUAAAAUUUUAUCUAGCAAGUUAUUGUUAUUUAAAAUCUUAUGACGUUUCAAAAAAAAAAAAAUUUGGGGC
Non-coding RNA from Camellia sinensis, 410 nucleotides. NCBI's taxonomy places the organism in Eukaryota, Viridiplantae, Streptophyta, Magnoliopsida, Ericales, Theaceae. The record is from RefSeq and is a predicted model, not a curated record.